CCUAACCUACAAUCAUAGAGGAGACUCAGGAAUGAAGCUGCUGUCAGCUGGACUGAAGGAUCCAUGUUGGAGACUGGACACUCUCAGGGUGGAGCCUGCUGGAGUCCAGUGGUUGCGAGCCAAAGAUCUGAGGAAGGAUUCCUGUCAACUCACAAUUGACACAAACACAGUCAAUAGAUACCUGAAACUGUCUGACAACAACAAGAAGGUGACAUGCAUCUGGGAACGUCAAUCAUAUCCCGAUCAUCCACACAGAUUUGAUCCCAGGUAUCAACUGCUGUGUAGAAAUGGUCUCACUGGUCGCUGUUACUGGGAAGUGGAGUGGAGAGGAAAUGUUUAUAUAUCAGUGAGUUACACAAAAAUCAAAAGGAAAGGAAAAAGUAAAGACGGUUUGUGUGGAUGGAAUGAUCAGUCCUGGAGUCUGUACUGCACUGACGAUGCUCCUCGUUUUGUUAGGCACAAUAAGAUAAGAACAUUCAUCUCCUCCUCCUCCUCAGUCUCUAACAGAGUAGCAGUGUAUGUGGACUGUCCUGCUGGCACUCUGUCCUUCUACAGAGUCUCCUCUGACACUCUGAUCCACCUUCACACCUUUAACUCCACAUUCACUGAACCUGUUUAUCCUGCGUUUGGGUUUUGGUCUCCUGGAUCCUCAGUGUUUGUCUGCUGAGUGUCACCCUGUUAGAGAAACACUCUGGCUGUUGAACAGAUAGUUCAGUCUGUAGAUGUGUGUGUCUUUCACUCAGAGACAAUUUUUCAAUCAGUUAAUGAUUUAAUCUGUUUCAAAUGAUUACUUAUGAAGCUACUAGAGGUGGGGUGAGGCACUGAGGCUCCAAACCCUGUUUCAUUCUAUUGAAGAAGACUGGUUUGAAACACUGUAUGACAUCCCCAUGACGAAUAAUGUUUGAGGCUUCGUACUUCACAAUGAAGACACUGAAAGUAAGGUGACUGAUUCAACCUGGUCUCCCACAAUAAUUUAUAAUUACUCUUGUGUUGAAUUUGGAAUAAACAACAUGUGUGAAUCAUUGGAAAUGUGUAUCUGCUGUUAGAUUUGUAUUGUGAUUGUCAUUUAUGCUUAGAAAUAUCUACUUAUAUAUUCUUAGAGUUUUAUAAUUAGGUGUAGAUUGGUAGAGGUUUGAUCCUUAAUAGUUUGCAAGCUUUGUGUGCAUUCCAGAGCUCUCUGACUUUCACACCCACAUUUUAGGAGCAUGGGAGAGGUCGUACCUUGUCUUAUUGUUUUAUGGUAGGAUAAACGUAUCUAUAUCUGUUUUAGGCUAAGUGCCUUUUGUUUAGAUGGACGGCUCUGGGGAGUCUUCCUGGGGUCACAGUUUGACCCUCAGUACAAUCA
Pelmatolapia mariae (spotted tilapia) is the source of this 1345-nucleotide long non-coding RNA. RefSeq lists it as uncharacterized. The record is from RefSeq and is a predicted model, not a curated record. The transcript is spliced from 3 exons. Lineage: Eukaryota; Metazoa; Chordata; Actinopteri; Cichliformes; Cichlidae.